GAUGAACGCUGGCGGCGUGCCUAAUACAUGCAAGUAGAACGCUGAAGGAGGAGCUUGCUCUUUCCGGAUGAGUUGCGAACGGGUGAGUAACGCGUAGGUAACCUGCCUGGUAGCGGGGGAUAACUAUUGGAAACGAUAGCUAAUACCGCAUAACAGUAGAUAUUGCAUGAUAUUUGCUUGAAAGGGGCAAUUGCUCCACUACCAGAUGGACCUGCGUUGUAUUAGCUAGUUGGUGAGGUAACGGCUCACCAAGGCGACGAUACAUAGCCGACCUGAGAGGGUGAUCGGCCACACUGGGACUGAGACACGGCCCAGACUCCUACGGGAGGCAGCAGGGAAUCUUCGGCAAUGGACGGAAGUCUGACCGAGCAACGCCGCGUGAGUGAAGAAGGUUUUCGGAUCGUAAAGCUCUGUUGUAAGAGAAGAACGAGUGUGAGAGUGGAAAGUUCACACUGUGACGGUAUCUUACCAGAAAGGGACGGCUAACUACGUG
Molecule: ribosomal RNA, 493 nt
Filed under: uncultured bacterium
Lineage: Bacteria
Description: partial 16S ribosomal RNA
Rfam family: Bacterial small subunit ribosomal RNA
Source: RNAcentral